Molecule: ribosomal RNA, 1146 nt
Filed under: uncultured fungus
Lineage: Eukaryota; Fungi
Description: eukaryotic LSU rRNA
Rfam family: Eukaryotic large subunit ribosomal RNA (bases 513-1146)
Source: RNAcentral
AAGUCGUAACAAGGUUUCCGUAGGUGAACCUGCGGAAGGAUCAUUACCGAGUUCAUGCCCUUCGGGGUAGAUCUCCCACCCUUUGUAUACCAUACCUCUGUUGCUUUGGCGGGCCGCCUAGCUACUGGCUUCGGCUGGUAAGUGCCCGCCAGAGGACCCAAAACCCUGAAUUUUAGUGUCGUCUGAGUAAAAAGUUUAAUAUUUAAAACUUUCAACAACGGAUCUCUUGGCUCUGGCAUCGAUGAAGAACGCAGCGAAAUGCGAUAAGUAAUGUGAAUUGCAGAAUUCAGUGAAUCAUCGAAUCUUUGAACGCACAUUGCGCCCCCUGGUAUUCCGGGGGGCAUGCCUAUUCGAGCGUCAUUAUCACCCCUCAAGCCUAGCUUGGUGUUGAGGCCUGCCGUCAAGGCAGCCUCUAAAAUCAGUGGCAGUGCUGUCAGGCUCUAAGCGUAGUAAAAUAAAUCGCGAUAGGGUCCUGGUGGAUACUCGUCAGAACCCCCCCAUUUUUUAAUGAUUGACCUCGGAUUAGGUAGGGAUACCCGCUGAACUUAAGCAUAUCAAUAAGCGGAGGAAAAGAAACCAACAGGGAUUGCCUCAGUAACGGCGAGUGAAGCGGCAAAAGCUCAAAUUUGAAAUCUGGCUCUUUUAGGGUCCGAGUUGUAAUUUGUAGAAGAUGUUUCGGGUGUGGCUCCGGUUUAAGUUCUUUGGAAUAUUACAUCAUAGAGGGUGAGAAUCCCGUAUGUGACCGGCAGCCUCCGCCUAUGUGAAACUCUUUCGACGAGUCGAGUUGUUUGGGAAUGCAGCUCAAAAUGGGAGGUAUAUUUCUUCUAAAGCUAAAUAUUGGCCAGAGACCGAUAGCGUACAAGUAGAGUGAUCGAAAGAUGAAAAGCACUUUGGAAAGAGAGUUAAACAGUACGUGAAAUUGUUGAAAGGGAAGCGCUUGCAACCAGACUUGCACGCAGUUGAUCAUCCGGUGUUCUCACCGGGGCACUCUGCUGCGUUCAGGCCAGCAUCGGUUUCAGUGGUUGGAUAAAGGCCUUGGGAAUGUAGCUUCCUUCGGGAAGUGUUAUAGCCCUCGGUGCAAUGCAGCCUACCGGGACCGAGGACCGCGCUUCGGCUAGGAUGCUGGCGUAAUGGUUGUAAGCGACC